This 431-nucleotide ribosomal RNA is filed under the name uncultured bacterium. Its description in RNAcentral is "bacterial SSU rRNA". It matches the Rfam family "Bacterial small subunit ribosomal RNA", at positions 29 to 506 of the family's 1533-position model. The record is from RNAcentral.
ACGAACGCUGGCGGCAGGCCUAAAACAUGCAAGUCGAACGAUGUAGCAAUACAUAGUGGCGCACGGGUGAGUAACGCGUGGGAAUGUGCCUUUGGGUGCGGAACAACGUCGGGAAACUGACGCUAAUACCGCAUAAUAUCUACGGAUCAAAGAUUUAUCGCCCAAAGAUCAGCCCGCGUCUGAUUAGGUAGUUGGUGAGGUAACGGCUCACCAAGCCUACGAUCAGUAGCUGGUCUGAGAGGAUGAUCAGCCACACUGGAACUGAGACACGGUCCAGACUCCUACGGGAGGCAGCAGUUAGGAAUAUUGGACAAUGGGGGAAACCCUGAUCCAGCCAUGCCGCGUGUGUGACGAAGGCCUUAGGGUUGUAAAGCACUUUCGGCUGUGAAGAUAAUGACAGUAGCAGAAGAAGAAGCUCCGGCUAAAUUCGU